CAGGUGUAGUUCAAUGGCAGAACUCCAGCUUCCCAAGCUGGCCACGAGGGUUCGAUUCCCUUCACCUG
RNAcentral lists this transfer RNA (68 nucleotides) under bovine gut metagenome. It matches the Rfam family "tRNA". Rfam says of the family: Transfer RNA (tRNA) molecules are approximately 80 nucleotides in length. Their secondary structure includes four short double-helical elements and three loops (D, anti-codon, and T loops). RNAcentral also lists the same sequence under 1 other name. The record is from RNAcentral.